RNAcentral lists this ribosomal RNA (253 nucleotides) under uncultured bacterium. RNAcentral's name for it is "partial 16S ribosomal RNA". It matches the Rfam family "Bacterial small subunit ribosomal RNA", at positions 524 to 776 of the family's 1533-position model. The record is from RNAcentral.
UACGGGGGGAGCAAGCGUUGUUCGGAUUUACUGGGCGUAAAGGGCGCGUAGGCGGCGUGACAAGUCACUUGUGAAAUCUCUGAGCUUAACUCAGAACGGCCAAGUGAUACUGCUGUGCUAGAGUGCAGAAGGGGCAAUCGGAAUUCUUGGUGUAGCGGUGAAAUGCGUAGAUAUCAAGAGGAACACCUGAGGUGAAGACGGGUUGCUGGGCUGACACUGACGCUGAGGCGCGAAAGCCAGGGGAGCAAACGGG